AGUGAACGCUGGCGGUAGGCCUAACACAUGCAAGUCGAACGGCAGCACAGUAAGAGCUUGCUCUUACGGGUGGCGAGUGGCGGACGGGUGAGGAAUACAUCGGAAUCUACUUUUUCGUGGGGGAUAACGUAGGGAAACUUACGCUAAUACCGCAUACGACCUACGGGUGAAAGCAGGGGAUCUUCGGACCUUGCGCGAUUGAAUGAGCCGAUGUCGGAUUAGCUAGUUGGCGGGGUAAAGGCCCACCAAGGCGACGAUCCGUAGCUGGUCUGAGAGGAUGAUCAGCCACACUGGAACUGAGACACGGUCCAGACUCCUACGGGAGGCAGCAGUGGGGAAUAUUGGACAAUGGGCGCAAGCCUGAUCCAGCCAUGCCGCGUGGGUGAAGAAGGCCUUCGGGUUGUAAAGCCCUUUUGUUGGGAAAGAAAAGCAGCAGGUUGAUACCCCGCUGUUCUGACGGUACCCAAAGAAUAAGCACCGGCUAACUUCGUG
This 492-nucleotide ribosomal RNA is filed under the name uncultured bacterium. RNAcentral describes it as "partial 16S ribosomal RNA". It matches the Rfam family "Bacterial small subunit ribosomal RNA", at positions 29 to 507 of the family's 1533-position model. The record is from RNAcentral.